AGGACUAUGAAACCUGAAGGGAGGCUUUGAACCUAACUGUGAAACCAUGAUCGUUGUUUACUAAGUCUAGAAUUAAGGACAUUUGCUACUAGAACUCAGGGGGAGUGACUAAAUCUAGGCAUCUGAACUAUAUAUGUGGGAAGUCUUGGGUAUCCGUCCCUAUAGCCCUGUGGUGGGCUUCUGGAGUCUGGAAGAAGCUGAAGGCAUGUAGUCCAAGUAGUAGUUGCAGUUGAAGGGAGAUUCGUAGACGGAGAUUUUCCUGGGCUGGAGGGCUUGCUGGGUGAGUGACUGAAACUGAAGGAGGAGGCUUACAUUGGUGAAUUUGUGGUUAAAGAUGCCACUGGGACUUCCAUGUGGAGAUCAAGACUUGAAAGAGCCCUUGCUGGGGGCUGAGAUGGACUUCACAGGAUCAGCACUUAUGUUGAGUCAUCAAAAUCCAGUGGCAAGGCAAAAGUCAGGACAACAUCUUUGAUGACUGACCAACCUCUAAG
Molecule: long non-coding RNA, 491 nt
Organism: Monodelphis domestica (gray short-tailed opossum)
Lineage: Eukaryota; Metazoa; Chordata; Mammalia; Didelphimorphia; Didelphidae
Source: Ensembl